GUAAAUUUCUUCUAAAGCUAAAUAUUGGCCAGAGACCGAUAGCGCACAAGUAGAGUGAUCGAAAGAUGAAAAGCACUUUGAAAAGAGGGUUAAAUAGCACGUGAAAUUGUUGAAAGGGAAGCGUUUGCGACCAGACUUUUUCCUAGCGGAUCAUCCGGUGUUAUCACCGGUGCACUUCGCUAGGUUAAGGCCAGCAUCGGUUUCUGUAGGGGGAUAAAAGCUUGGGGAAUGUAGCUCCCUCGGGAGUGUUAUAGCCCCUCGCAUAAUACCCUUACGGGGACCGAGGACCGCGCUUUUGCAAGGAUGCUGGCGUAAUGGUUGUCAACGACCCGUCUUGAAACACGGACCAAGGAGUCGAACAUUUGUGCGAGUGUUUGGGUGUUAAACCCUCACGCGUAAUGAAAGUGAACGGAGGUGAGAGCCCUUACGGGUGCAUCAUCGACCGAUCCUGAUGUCUUCGGAUGGAUUUGAGUAAGAGCAUAACUGUUCGGACCCGAAAGAUGGUGAACUAUGCGUGGAUAGGGUGAAGCCAGAGGAAACUCUGGUGGAGGCUCGCAGCGGUUCUGACGUGCAAAUCGAUCGUCAAAUCUGCGCAUGGGGGCGAAAGACUUAUCGAACCAUCUAGUAGCUGGUUACCGCCGAAGUUUCCCUCAGGAUAGCAGUGUUGUUCUUCAGUUUUAUGAGGUAAAGCGAAUGAUUAGGGACUCGGGGGCGCUUUUUAGCCUUCAUCCAUUCUCAAACUUUAAAUAUGUAAGAAGCCCUUGUUACUUAAUUGAACGUGGGCAUUCGAAUGUACCAACACUAGUGGGCCAUUUUUGGUAAGCAGAACUGGCGAUGCGGGAUGAACCGAACGCGGGGUUAAGGU
This 865-nucleotide ribosomal RNA is filed under the name Xylaria sp. 5147. RNAcentral's name for it is "eukaryotic LSU rRNA". It matches the Rfam family "Eukaryotic large subunit ribosomal RNA", at positions 299 to 1186 of the family's 3401-position model. Lineage: Eukaryota; Fungi; Ascomycota; Sordariomycetes; Xylariales; Xylariaceae. The record is from RNAcentral.